AACGUAGGGCGCGAGCGUUGUCCGGAUUUAUUGGGCGUAAAGAGCUCGUAGGCGGCUCGUUGCGUCGGCUGUGAAAACCCGCAGCUCAACUGUGGGCUUGCAGCUGAUACGGGCGGGCUGGGAUUCGGUAGGGGAGACUGGAAUUCCUGGUGUAGCGGUGAAAUGCGCAGAUAUCAGGAGGAACACCGGUGGCGAAGGCGGGUCUCUGGGCAGUAACUGACGCUGAGGAGCGAAAGCGUGGGGAGCGAACAGG
This 253-nucleotide ribosomal RNA is filed under the name uncultured bacterium. RNAcentral describes it as "partial 16S ribosomal RNA". It matches the Rfam family "Bacterial small subunit ribosomal RNA", at positions 524 to 776 of the family's 1533-position model. The record is from RNAcentral.